UACGGAGGGUGCAAACGUUGCUCGGAAUUAUUGGGCGUAAAGCGCACGUAGGUGGUCUGCUAUGUCGGGUGUGAAAUCCCUCGGCUUAACCGAGGAAGUGCAUUCGAAACUGGCAGGCUAGAGUACUGAAGAGGGUCGCGGAAUUCCCGGUGUAGAGGUGAAAUUCGUAGAUAUCGGGAGGAAUACCAGUGGCGAAGGCGGCGACCUGGACGGACAUUGACGCUGAGACGCGAAAGCGUGGGGAGCAAACAGG
RNAcentral lists this ribosomal RNA (253 nucleotides) under uncultured bacterium. RNAcentral describes it as "partial 16S ribosomal RNA". It matches the Rfam family "Bacterial small subunit ribosomal RNA", at positions 524 to 776 of the family's 1533-position model. The record is from RNAcentral.